AGAUUGAACGCUGGCGGCAGGCCUAACACAUGCAAGUCGAGCGGCAGCACGGGUACUUGUACCUGGUGGCGAGCGGCGGACGGGUGAGUAAUGCCUAGGAAUCUGCCUGAUAGUGGGGGAUAACGUUCGGAAACGGACGCUAAUACCGCAUACGUCCUACGGGAGAAAGUGGGGGAUCUUCGGACCUCACGCUAUCAGAUGAGCCUAGGUCGGAUUAGCUAGUUGGUAGGGUAAAGGCCUAACCAAGGCUAACGAUCCGUAACUGGUCUGAGAGGAUGAUCAGUCACACUGGAACUGAGACACGGUCCAGACUCCGUAGGAGCAGCAGGUAGGGAAUAUUGGAAC
RNAcentral lists this ribosomal RNA (345 nucleotides) under uncultured soil bacterium. RNAcentral's name for it is "bacterial SSU rRNA". It matches the Rfam family "Bacterial small subunit ribosomal RNA", at positions 26 to 370 of the family's 1533-position model. The record is from RNAcentral.